AUGAUCGCCGUGUCCUUUUUGUUGGCGUGCUUCGCGGCAGCUCUGCAGCCAACGUCGGCCGGCGAGGCUGGAAGGGGUGGGAUCUGGCAUAUCCCUUUUGCGGCCGACCUGGCUCGGGCUCGCUGCCCUUCCAGAUGCGGUGGUGUUGCCAUUCACUAUCCGUGGGGGAUAGGGCCGGGCUGCUUCCGGCAAGGCUUCGAGCUCACCUGCAACAACACCGCUGGUCAUAAGAGGCUCUUUCUGGGCAACAGUACCACUGAGGUCCUUGAGUUGUCUCCCGGAGAAAACGGACUUCGAGUCUCUCCUAUCCACUUCAACGUCACCAAGAAACCAGGUAUGAACGACACCUAUAACAUGUCAUGGGAGGCCCCUGUUAAAGGUGUUAUGGCUUCUGAACAAACUGGCUUGUUCGUUGUUGGUUGCGGUGUGGGUCUCUACUUGUUCGGCCAUGAUACCACCGACCCCAUUGGUUAUUGUGUGAGUGUUUUGCCUAGACGACAAAGAGGCCAUGAAGGAGGCAAAUGCAAACCAGUAUGGCGAUGUUGGGAUGGGUUAUUGUUCCAUUUUUUUGCCGCAGGACAUGCCAGCAUUUGGGUUCACAGUUGACCGCCUCAAAGGCGUCUCAGCACUAUCAGGUCAAGCUCAAGUACUCUCUAAUACUAUCAAAGUUUUCCUGGCGGAGGAUUACAAUUUUCAUGUUGCCGACAUCUAUUCAAGUCGGGUAGACAAAAGAAACAUUGAUGUGGCAGUGCUUCGAAUAGUCAUCACGGAUCAACCAAGCUGUGAAAGUGCUCAGAAGAAAAAGUCAAGCUAUGCUUGUGGCGAUAGCAGCGAUGGCGUCGGUGUACCAUCUGGAGGCUACUCCUGUAGCUCCCGCCCUGACACAACCGGCAACAACCCGUACCUUAUGGAUGGUUGUCAACAAGGUCAAGCAAUACAAUCCCAAUCAUAGAGGAGGUUGCACCAAAUUUUGCGGGAACACAAGUAUGCACUUCCCUUUUGGGCUUGAAAAAGGUUGCUACGCUGCUGAAAAGUUUUGACUUAACUGUACAUCAGAGAACAUCACAAUUCUUGAUCGAGGGGGUAACAAUAUUAAUGAAGGCGCCAAAUUAAUUGUGGACAACAUUUCAGUGAAUGAAGGAUAUCUUAAUGUUAGAGAAACAAAGAAUAACUUAAGGUAUGGUAAUGAAGAGCUCGCGGUAAUAGGUUAUAGAAGCAAUGGGGACUAGGAAGUAGAAGACAUCUCUUCAGAUGGUUUUCAUUUAUCCGAAGAAUACGGUAUGAAGUUGUUGUGGUCUGUCGAUAAUUUGACCUGUUCGAAGGCUAUGAGCAAGCAAAUAAGUGCUACAUAUGCAUGUCGUAGCAGCAAUAGCACUUGCAUUAUUGUCAACCAACCAGGCUACAAGAAUGUGACAAUGCAGCUCGGCUAUCGUUGCCAGUGCUCUCAAGGUUUUUAUGGAAAUCCAUACAUACUGAACGGAUGCCAAGAUGUCAAUGAGUGUUUGUUGAUGAAUAUUUGCAACGGCCCUUGCCUAAAUUAUCCUGGAGGCUAUAGUUGCAGUGAGUGCACGCAUGGAAAAGAGUUUGAUCCAAUAGAACUCAAAUGUGUCAUGUCAAAAAAGAGACACAAUCUUCUCUUAGGUAUCACAAUUGGAAUUAGUUGUGGCCUUGGUGCCAUAAUUCUUGUGGUAGGCGCCACAGUACUCAUCAACAAGUGGAAGAGAGGCAUACAGAAGAGAAUUCGAAGGACAUACUUCAAGAGAAAUCAAGGCCUACUCUUGGAACAACUAAUAUUAGAUGAAAGUGCCACAGAUAAAACAAAGAUAUUCUCUUUGGAGGAAUUAGAUAAAGCAACCAACAACUUUGAUGUCAGUCAUAUUCUUGGUCAUGGAGGACAUGGCACGGUUUACAAAGGGAUUCUAUCCGACCAACGUGUAGUGGCCAUAAAAAAGUCUAAGCUGGUGGAGCAAACUGAGAUUGACCAGUUUAUCAACGAGGUUGCCAUCCUGUCACAAAUCAUUCAUCGGAAUGUGGUCAAGCUUUUUGGUUGUUGUCUCGAAACAGAAGUGCCUUUGCUAGUUUAUGAGUUCAUAUCCAAUGGCACCCUAUAUGAUCUUCUUCACAUUGAUGUAAGUGUUCAGUGCUUACUUUUAUGGGGUGAUCGCAUUAGGAUUGCAGUAGAAGCUGCAGGUGCUCUUGCUUAUCUGCACUCAGCUGCUGCGAUACCAAUUUUCCAUAGAGAUGUCAAAUCUUCCAAUAUACUCCUAGAUGGCAACUUUACUACCAAGGUUUCUGACUUUGGUGCUUCGAGGUCUUUAUCACUUGAUCAGACACAUGUAGUGACAAUUGUACAAGGAACUUUUGGUUACUUAGACCCCGAGUACUACCACACUGGGGAGCUGAGUGAGAAGAGUGAUGUUUAUAGCUUUGGAAUUAUACUGGUGGAGCUUCUAAUGAGAAAGAAGCCAGUUUUUAUUAAUGAACAAGGUAUAAAGCAAAGCUUGGCUCAUUACUUUGUGGAAGGACUUCAGCAGGGAGUUCUCAUGGAAAUCAUGGAUCCCCAAGUUGCGGAAGAAGCGAACCAGAAUGAAAUUGAUGACAUUGCCUCAGUUGCGGAAGCAUGCUUGAAAACCAAAGGAAAAGAAAGACCUACCAUGAAAGAGGUAGAAAUGAAGUUGCAACUCCUGAAAACUAGAAGAUUAAGGAGUCAACUUCCUCCCAUAAAUGAUGGAGAGAUCGAGUCAUUUGGGUGCCUAAAUGGCGCUAGCUCUCAUGCACAGAGCAACGGCAUUGUCAGUAAUGUUGGCUUAACACCUACAUGCAGCUCCGGAAAGUACAGUCUGGAGCAAGAGUUUUUGAACUCGGCCAGCUUGCCACGCUAG
Molecule: ribosomal RNA, 2882 nt
Filed under: Triticum aestivum (bread wheat)
Lineage: Eukaryota; Viridiplantae; Streptophyta; Magnoliopsida; Poales; Poaceae
Description: partial small subunit ribosomal RNA
Source: RNAcentral